This 216-nucleotide ribosomal RNA is filed under the name Glomeromycotina sp. RNAcentral's name for it is "partial small subunit ribosomal RNA". The stretch from base 40 to 216 matches the Rfam family "Eukaryotic small subunit ribosomal RNA", at positions 686 to 864 of the family's 1831-position model. Lineage: Eukaryota; Fungi; Glomeromycota. The record is from RNAcentral.
GGGUCAGUAGGUUGGUCGUGCCACCGGUACGUACUGGUCUCACUGAUUCCUCCUUCCUGAAGUACCUUAAUGCCAUUAAUUUGGUGUUGCGGGGAAACAGGACUGUUACUUUGAAAAAAUUAGAGUGUUUAAAGCAAGCUAACGCUUGAAUACAUUAGCAUGGAAUAAUGAAAUAGGACGAUCGAUCCUAUUUUGUUGGUUUCUAGGAUUGACGUA